Molecule: long non-coding RNA, 768 nt
Filed under: Pan troglodytes (chimpanzee)
Lineage: Eukaryota; Metazoa; Chordata; Mammalia; Primates; Hominidae
Description: lincRNA
Source: RNAcentral
GGGCGUCCCGGUGUACACACGGCGGGCCCGGUCCCGCCACACAUGCCGUGCUUUUUGAACACCCGCCGUGGGCUAAGCAUGGGACCCACGUGGGGUGAGGACACAUGGCGAUAAAGAGAGCCAGGCCCUUGCUGCCAAGGAGCUUUCCCGUAACACCGAUGCUUCAAACAAAAGAUAUUAAAGACAUUGGCGGUGACACUGGAAUGGAUGCGAAGAUGGGAGAGGUCUACCCAUAGCCCUUUCUACAGAGCAGAACUGAGGCUCAGAUAUUGAGGUAGAUUAAAGAUGGCUGCCAGUUCAGUGCUACUUGUCCCUUGAACUGUGAAGUCUUAUCCCCCUCCUCGGGUCUGCACCAGCCUUGAUGACUUGCUCACUGCACUGUGGUAGAAGUGAUGGUGCAUGACUUCCAAGGUUAGACCAGAAGAAGCCUUGAAGUUCCUGCCUUGGUCUCUUGAAACAACUUACCGUGUAAGAAGUCUGACACCCUGAGACUGCCAUGUUGGCACAGUUAUGGGUGGAUGCUCCAGUAGACGGAUCCAGCUGAGCCCAGCCCUCCAGUCAUUCCCACCCCCAAACCAUGGGUGAAACUGUCUUGGACCCUCCAGUCCAGCCCACUCAACAUCUAAAUACCACAGACCGACCUCAGCUGAUACCAUCACCCAGUUAAAAUGUGCCUGAAACUGACCCACAAAAUCAUGAGAUAAACUAAAAUGGUUGUUGUCCUAAGCCACUAAGAUAAUAGAGCAGAUAUAUAUGCACUUAACACUC